UAAUGUUGAUAAUGAGUGUUAGUGCACAACUGUUUGAACGCAUCAACUGUUUCUCUCUCUCAUUAAUUUCUUCCAAGCUGACGAGAAUUUCAUCAACCACACAAGACUGCGAUAAAUCCCCUUCAACAAACUGCCAAAUAAUAUGAAAUCCACCAGUUUUCGCCAUUUCUAAGGAAGAUGUCUGUCUCUUCCCUAUCCGUUGAGAGAAAAGCGAAAUUCAGCAUCUCAGAAACUACUCAAACUGGCGUUGAAGAGAAAGGAAGAGUAAAUCUCGAAGCCGAUCAAAUCGACAAGAAAGAAGACGAGAGCGGUGAAGCUGCAGCCACAGUUUCUCACGACGAAGACGGCUUCAAAACUCCGACCUCCUCCGAUCACAGAAUUCCGCCGAUCACGGAGUGCCCGCCCGCGCCAACGAAGCCCCGCCCACCGCCGCUGAGACUGAAGCGAAAAAGCCCCCAACCGGCUGAGAUCGAAUCAAUCUUCCGCUCGAUCGCUACCGAUCAAGACGACACGCAACGCCAUAAAAUAAAAAAAGCUCGAACCGAUGAUCACGACCGAUCGUGAAUCAAUUGAAGUUUAAUGUAUUUUCAAAAUUCAUGAUCAUAUAUUCAUAUGGUUGUAAAAGUUUAUUGUAUUUUCAAUGAGUUGAAUAUGAUCUAGAUACCAAAAAGGUAAACAUUUCUAGCAUAGGCUAGGAAAUAGAGGUGACAAGGACUUGUAAACUUAUUUUCUUAGCCUAUGUUGUGAAAAGUAGGCUACAUAUAAUACAAUCUUUUUUCUAUUGAUUUUA
Molecule: long non-coding RNA, 790 nt
Organism: Salvia splendens (bonfire salvia)
Lineage: Eukaryota; Viridiplantae; Streptophyta; Magnoliopsida; Lamiales; Lamiaceae
Exons: 2
Source: RefSeq, a predicted model, not a curated record